AAGAAAGCGAUGAUGGGAACAAGUAGCGGCUGUCUCCCUGGUGCAGAGAGCUGGCGGACGGUGCGAGCCAGUCCACAGGCAGGCGCGAAUUACCUCCCUGAGCAGCGAUGGCGAACGGUUUUCCUAGUAGCCAUCAGCCGGCUGACGCCGUUACCGAAAUGAGCGGGAAAGCGCGAAGCUUUCCAAGUAGGGUGGUACCGCGACGAACACUCGCCCCUUCA
Molecule: non-coding RNA, 221 nt
Filed under: Geobacillus sp.
Lineage: Bacteria; Bacillati; Bacillota; Bacilli; Caryophanales; Anoxybacillaceae
Description: T-box sequence
Rfam family: T-box leader
About the family: Uncharged tRNA acts as the effector for transcription antitermination of genes in the T-box leader family. T-boxes are found upstream of many aminoacyl-tRNA synthetase genes and some amino acid biosynthetic genes usually in Gram-positive bacteria.
Source: RNAcentral